GACGAACGCUGGCGGCGUGCUUAACACAUGCAAGUCGAACGGAAAGGCUCCAGCUUGCUGGAGUACUCGAGUGGCGAACGGGUGAGUAACACGUGGGUAAUCUGCCCUGCACUCUGGGAUAAGCCUGGGAAACUGGGUCUAAUACUGGAUAUGACCUUUCUCCUUAUGGGGUUUGGUGGAAAGUUUUUCGGCGUAGGAUGAGCCCGCGGCCUAUCAGCUUGUUGGUGGGGUGAUGGCCUACCAAGGCGACGACGGGUAGCCGGCCUGAGAGGGUGAUCGGCCACAUUGGGACUGAGAUACGGCCCAGACUCCUACGGGAGGCAGCAGUGGGGAAUAUUGCACAAUGGGCGGAAGCCUGAUGCAGCGACGCCGCGUGAGGGAUGACGGCCUUCGGGUUGUAAACCUCUUUCAGCAGGGACGAGGCGUAAGUGACGGUACCUGCAGAAGAAGCACCGGCUAACUACGUG
Molecule: ribosomal RNA, 467 nt
Filed under: uncultured bacterium
Lineage: Bacteria
Description: partial 16S ribosomal RNA
Rfam family: Bacterial small subunit ribosomal RNA
Source: RNAcentral